GACGAACGCUGGCGGCGUGCUUAACACAUGCAAGUCGAACGGAAAGGCCCUGCUUUUGUGGGGUGCUCGAGUGGCGAACGGGUGAGUAACACGUGAGUAACCUGCCCUUGACUUUGGGAUAACUUCAGGAAACUGGGGCUAAUACCGGAUAGGAGCUCCUGCUGCAUGGUGGGGGUUGGAAAGUUUCGGCGGUUGGGGAUGGACUCGCGGCUUAUCAGCUUGUUGGUGGGGUAGUGGCUUACCAAGGCUUUGACGGGUAGCCGGCCUGAGAGGGUGACCGGCCACAUUGGGACUGAGAUACGGCCCAGACUGCUACGGGAGGCAGCAGUGGGGAAUAUUGCACAAUGGGCGGAAGCCUGAUGAAGCAGCGCCGCGUGCGGGAUGACGGCCUUCGGGUUGUAAACCGCUUUCGCCUGUGACGAAGCGUGAGUGACGGUAAUGGGUAAAGAAGCACCGGCUAACUACGUG
RNAcentral lists this ribosomal RNA (468 nucleotides) under uncultured bacterium. RNAcentral describes it as "partial 16S ribosomal RNA". It matches the Rfam family "Bacterial small subunit ribosomal RNA", at positions 28 to 507 of the family's 1533-position model. The record is from RNAcentral.